GAGUGGCGAACUGGUGAGUAACACGUGGGAAACCUGCCCAGAAGCGGGGGAUAACACCUGGAAACAGAUGCUAAUACCGCAUAACAACUUGGACCGCAUGGUCCGAGCUUGAAAGAUGGCUUCGGCUAUCACUUUUGGAUGGUCCCGCGGCGUAUUAGCUAGAUGGUGGGGUAACGGCUCACCAUGGCAAUGAUACGUAGCCGACCUGAGAGGGUAAUCGGCCACAUUGGGACUGAGACACGGCCCAAACUCCUACGGGAGGCAGCAGUAGGGAAUCUUCCACAAUGGACGAAAGUCUGAUGGAGCAACGCCGCGUGGGUGAAGAAGGGUUUCGGCUCGUAAAACUCUGUUGUUAAAGAAGAACAUAUCUGAGAGUAACUGUUCAGGUAUUGACGGUAUUUACCCACAAAGCACGGGUUAACUACGUGCCAGCAGCCGCGGUAAUACGUAGGUGGCAAGCGUUGUCCGGAUUUAUUGGGCGUAAAGCGAGCGCAGGCGGUUUUUUAAGUCUGAUGUGAAAGCCUUCGGCUCAACCGAAGAAGUGCAUCGGAAACUGGGAAACUUGAGUGCAGAAGAGGACAGUGGAACUCCAUGUGUAGCGGUGAAAUGCGUAGUAUAUAUGGAAGAACACCAGUGGCGAAGGCGGCUGUCUGGUCUGUAACUGACGCUGAGGCUCGAAAGUAUGGGUAGCAAACAGGAUUAGAUACCCUGGUAGUCCAUACCGUAAACGAUGAAUGCUAAGUGUUGGAGGGUUUCCGCCCUUCAGUGCUGCAGCUAACGCAUUAAGCAUUCCGCCUGGGGAGUACGGCCGCAAGGCUGAAACUCAAAGGAAUUGACGGGGGCCCGCACAAGCGGUGGAGCAUGUGGUUUAAUUCGAAGCUACGCGAAGAACCUUACCAGGUCUUGACAUACUAUGCAAAUCUAAGAGAUUAGACGUUCCCUUCGGGGACAUGGAUUCAGGUGGUGCAUGGUUGUCGUCAGCUCGUGUCGUGAGAUGUUGGGUUAAGUCCCGCAACGAGCGCAACCCUUAUUAUCAGUUGCCAGCAUUAAGUUGGGCACUCUGGUGAGACUGCCGGUGACAAACCGGAGGAAGGUGGGGAUGACGUCAAAUCAUCAUGCCCCCUAUGACCUGGGCUACACACGUGCUACAAUGGAUGGUACAACGAGUUGCGAACUCGCGAGAGUAAGCUAAUCUCUUAAAGCCAUUCUCAGUUCGGAUUGUAGGCUGCAACUCGCCUACAUGAAGUCGGAAUCGCUAGUAAUCGCGGAUCAGCAUGCCGCGGUGAAUACGUUCCCGGGCCUUGUACACACCGCCCGUCACACCAUGAGAGUUUGUAACACCCAAAGUCGGUGGGGUAACCUUUUAGGAACCAGCCGCCUAAGGUGGGACAGAUGAUUAGGGUGAAGUCGUAACAAGGUAGCCGUAGGAGAACC
This 1434-nucleotide ribosomal RNA is filed under the name uncultured compost bacterium. Its description in RNAcentral is "16S ribosomal RNA". It matches the Rfam family "Bacterial small subunit ribosomal RNA". The record is from RNAcentral.